Molecule: long non-coding RNA, 944 nt
Filed under: Equus caballus (horse)
Lineage: Eukaryota; Metazoa; Chordata; Mammalia; Perissodactyla; Equidae
Description: lncRNA (ENSECAG00000048119.1)
Source: RNAcentral
AGGGCACAAGCUCCACACAUUUACAUGCCAACCCUGCAGGUGCACAGUGGCAGGGCAGGAAGCUCUGAGACCCCAAGCAAGAUUUCAGAAAGUCUUUCUUUCCAACUGCAAAAAUAAAUAGGCCUCUAACUCCAGGCACUAAAGGGGUUUGUUGAGUAGUAUUUACACCUGUGGAGAGAGUGGAAGGUGGCACCUGAGAAGUUCAGAGUUUUUCUCUCUGACUCUAACUUGCUUCCCACUAUUCUUGCAGUGCCUUCACUCAGGCCAGAGACCCCAGAGUGUUUUGCUCAAGCUGGGUAAAUAACCCCAGGAAAUGGGAAACUCUAACUUUAAAGAGCUUACUUAAAACGGGCAAGUGCCAGUGUUGGCUGUCUUGAGCCCCUCCAUUCAGAGGAAACUGCCUUGGAGCGGGAGAAACACUAGCCUUGGGCCUUGCAGUGCUGGGCUCUGCUGGAUGGCCUUGGACAAGUCGCCAAAACUCUCUGAGCACUUCUCCCCUUCCAUGAGAUGAAGGUGGCACCACUGCAGGCAGAUACUCUCAUAAGAAUCAAUGGGAAGAAGCCAUUAAGAAGCUAAUUAUUAACCCAGGGCGAGCCUGGUGGCGCAGCAGUUAAGUUCGCACGUUCUGCUUCGGGGGCGCAGGGUUCACCGGUUCAGAUCCCAGAUGUGGACAUGGCACCGCUUGGCAAGCCAUGCUGUGGAAAGUCAUUACCAUACUGUGGCAUCCAACACAGAAUUUGAAGCAAGACGCUCAAGCUAAGGGCCCAGGAAAGACCAGGCAGAGCCUUAGAUUCCGGGAAGCUUGGAGUGAAUUUCAAUAUUGAUCUUCAACAACCACCUUGUCACAGAAACCUGGCAGAAUUUUGCUUCUCUCUUUUCUCUGUCCCUUUUUAACCUUAUUUGUCACCCUUCCAUUUCAAACUCUAUUUUUUAUUUGUAGUGUA